GAUGAACGCUGGCGGCGUGCCUAAUACAUGCAAGUCGAGCGAACAGAUGAGGAGCUUGCUCCUCUGACGUUAGCGGCGGACGGGUGAGUAACACGUGGAUAACCUACCUAUAAGACUGGGAUAACUUCGGGAAACCGGAGCUAAUACCGGAUAAUAUAUUGAACCGCAUGGUUCAAUAGUGAAAGACGGUUUUGCUGUCACUUAUAGAUGGAUCCGCGCCGCAUUAGCUAGUUGGUAAGGUAACGGCUUACCAAGGCAACGAUGCGUAGCCGACCUGAGAGGGUGAUCGGCCACACUGGAACUGAGACACGGUCCAGACUCCUACGGGGGGCAGCAGUAGGGAAUCUUCCGCAAUGGGCGAAAGCCUGACGGAGCAACGCCGCGUGAGUGAUGAAGGUCUUCGGAUCGUAAAACUCUGUUAUUAGGGAAGAACAAAUGUUUAAGUAACUAUGCACGUCUUGACGGUACCUAAUCAGAAAGCCACGGCUAACUACGUG
Molecule: ribosomal RNA, 497 nt
Filed under: uncultured bacterium
Lineage: Bacteria
Description: partial 16S ribosomal RNA
Rfam family: Bacterial small subunit ribosomal RNA
Source: RNAcentral